This 822-nucleotide ribosomal RNA is filed under the name Triticum aestivum (bread wheat). Its description in RNAcentral is "partial small subunit ribosomal RNA". The record is from RNAcentral. Lineage: Eukaryota; Viridiplantae; Streptophyta; Magnoliopsida; Poales; Poaceae.
AUGGCGUCGACACCUCGCCGUCUUGAAGCCCCGCCGACGACACUGCUCACGCUACCCGAGGAGCUUCUCGAGGAAGUCCUCGUCCGCCUCCCCGCGGCCGCUGACCUCGCCCGCGCCUCCGUUGCCUGGGUCUCCUUCCGCCGCCUCGUCACCGACCACCGCUUCCUCCGCCGCUUCCGCGCCCGCCAGCCGCCGCCUCUCCUAGGCAUCGUUUCCCAUCGAUCCCACCGGUACCUGCCGCUGCUGCAGCUGGCCCAGCCGCCGCACCCAUCCGCCGCCGGGGCGAGCACUUUCGCGGGCUCUCACGCCGCUGACUUCGCGUGCUCCUUCCUCCCCUCCGCCGAGCGCUGGCAUGUGCGUGACUUGCGGGACAGCCACGUCCUCCUCUCUGGCGUCCCAGAGGGGAGCAAAUUCAGUUGCCGCGUCUUGGUCAGGGACCUGGCCGUCUGUGAUCCCCUGUACCGGCGCUACACCCUACUGCCUGCCAUCCCCGACGACCUCGCCGCUUUAGCGCGGCAGUCGGACAUGGGGCAUUUCGAGCCCUUCCUAGCUCCUCCGGCCACCGAGGAUGAGGAUGGCAUUUCAUUCAGGGUUAUUUGCUGGCGCGCUGCACAACCAGGCUGGUCCUCCUCAUCUUCUCUUCAGGUUCAGGUGAUGGACAGUGGCGCGCUGUUACACUUGACAAUUGGGUCAGUUUGCUCACAGGAUUGGACAACCCGGCUCCAGGCGUCAUGCCAGAAUCGUACUUGUGGCCGCGAAUGCGCCACUACGCACACGGAUACUUCUGUUGGGCAUUUUAUCCGGCGAACAAAAACAAGUUGA